Molecule: transfer RNA, 84 nt
Filed under: Felis catus (domestic cat)
Lineage: Eukaryota; Metazoa; Chordata; Mammalia; Carnivora; Felidae
Rfam family: tRNA
About the family: Transfer RNA (tRNA) molecules are approximately 80 nucleotides in length. Their secondary structure includes four short double-helical elements and three loops (D, anti-codon, and T loops). Further hydrogen bonds mediate the characteristic L-shaped molecular structure. tRNAs have two regions of fundamental functional importance: the anti-codon, which is responsible for specific mRNA codon recognition, and the 3' end, to which the tRNAs corresponding amino acid is attached (by aminoacyl-tRNA synthetases). tRNAs cope with the degeneracy of the genetic code in two manners: having more than one tRNA (with a specific anti-codon) for a particular amino acid; and 'wobble' base-pairing, i.e. permitting non-standard base-pairing at the 3rd anti-codon position.
Source: Rfam by way of RNAcentral
GCCUGGGUGGCUCAGUGGCUGAGCGUCCGACUUCGGCUCAGGUCAUGAUCUCAUGGCUUGUGAGUUCAAGCCUCGCAUCGGGCU